This 491-nucleotide ribosomal RNA is filed under the name uncultured bacterium. RNAcentral describes it as "partial 16S ribosomal RNA". It matches the Rfam family "Bacterial small subunit ribosomal RNA", at positions 29 to 506 of the family's 1533-position model. The record is from RNAcentral.
AGUGAGCGCUGGCGGUAGGCCUAACACAUGCAAGUCGAACGGCAGCACAGUAAGAGCUUGCUCUUACGGGUGGCGAGUGGCGGACGGGUGAGGAAUACAUCGGAAUCUACUUUUUCGUGGGGGAUAACGUAGGGAAACUUACGCUAAUACCGCAUACGACCUACGGGUGAAAGCAGGGGAUCUUCGGACCUUGCGCGAUUGAAUGAGCCGAUGUCGGAUUAGCUAGUUGGCGGGGUAAAGGCCCACCAAGGCGACGAUCCGUAGCUGGUCUGAGAGGAUGAGCAGCCACACUGGAAAUGAGACACGGUCCAGACUCCUACGGGAGGCAGCAGUGGGGAAUAUUGGACAAUGGGCGCAAGCCGGAUCCAGCCAUACCGCGUGGGUGAAGAAGGCCUUCGGGUUGUAAAGCCAUUUUGUUGGGAAAGAAAAGCAGCAGGUUAAUACCCCGCUGUUCUGACGGUACCCAAAGAAUAAGCACCGGCUAACUUCGU